Molecule: ribosomal RNA, 468 nt
Filed under: uncultured bacterium
Lineage: Bacteria
Description: partial 16S ribosomal RNA
Rfam family: Bacterial small subunit ribosomal RNA
Source: RNAcentral
GACGAACGCUGGCGGCGUGCUUAACACAUGCAAGUCGAACGGAAAGGCCCUGCUUUUGUGGGGUGCUCGAGUGGCGAACGGGUGAGUAACACGUGAGUAACCUGCCCUUGACUUUGGGAUAACUUCAGGAAACUGGGGCUAAUACCGGAUAGGAGCUCCUGCUGCAUGGUGGGGGUUGGAAAGUUUCGGCGGUUGGGGAUGGACGCGCGGCUUAUCAGCUUGUUGGUGGGGUAGUGGCUUACCAAGGCUUUGACGGGUAGCCGGCCUGAGAGGGUGACCGGCCACAUUGGGACUGAGAUACGGCCCAGACUCCUACGGGAGGCAGCAGUGGGGAAUAUUGCACAAUGGGCUGAAGCCUGAUGCAGCAACGCCGCGUGAGGGAUGACGGCCUUCGGGUUGUAAACCUCUUUCGCCUGUGACGCAGCGUGAGUGACGGUACUGGAUAAAGAAGCACCGGCUAACUACGUG